AUUUGAUUCUGUUUGUGUUUCAGGACCUUCACCCAUAACAUGCUGGCCUUUGGUCUCAGUAAGCGCCUCUGUAACGACUUCCUGACGAAGCAGGCCGUCAUCGGAAAUCUAAAUGAAGAGCAAUACAAGCUGCUGAGAGAACACAUUGAGAAGAUGGCGGCAGAGUGAGGCGGAGGACGGCGCCGGUUUCUCUCCAGCUCCACGUCCAUUUCAUAUUUAUGGUGUUCAGUCCUGAAAAUGAUCAUCUCCAGUCUGUAAAGGGUUGGAUUAAGAGCAAUAAAAUAAGAGCAUCAUUUCUGCAGAGGAAGCAAAGUCCUCCAGUGUUCAUGGCGACGCCUCACGUCACUCUGGGUUCUGCUCUUCUUCCCUCUGAAAUGUGUCUCACGAAGGACUCGGCCUGCAGUGAUCUGAUGUUCAGACGUCUAUUUAUUUAUUUAACUGUUCUGUUGUUGUUGUUGUUCUCUGGCUUCACCUUUUAACUGACAGAAACGAAACCUUGAAUCUCCCACCCAUCCUACCUACUUCAUCAUCUGUCUUGUAAGGUCUCCCUGAGGACUCCCUGCUGUUACUUUGUGCUGUCACUAAGGGGCAGCAUUGCGCCUCAUAUGACUUCACUGCUCCACUGUGUGUAGCGCCUCCCUGUGGUGGCUCUUCAGAGGAAGGUUUUCUGUGCUGCUCCAUGUUUCCUGCCUGUGGAUCAGCAUCAGGUUUCCUCUCCUCACUGAGGCCCCUUCAGGUCCAUCAGUUGUUCUGGGUUUCAACCAUUUAAUGUAUGAUAUCAAUAAACCAGGUGAAUAAAUUGUAAAUGUGAUUUAAGGAUCA
Cyprinodon tularosa is the source of this 822-nucleotide long non-coding RNA. RefSeq lists it as uncharacterized. Lineage: Eukaryota; Metazoa; Chordata; Actinopteri; Cyprinodontiformes; Cyprinodontidae. The record is from RefSeq and is a predicted model, not a curated record. The transcript is spliced from 2 exons.